UCUGCGUGUGUCUGCUCGUGGCUCACCUCCUCUUUUUGCUCGUACAACAUUUCCUGCAUCUCAUCCACCCACACAAGGUGCUGUGUCAGACUCUUGCAGGCAUCCUCCAAUUUGCCUUCCUGUGCUGCUUCAUGUGGAUGCACCUGGAGGGCAGCACACUCGUCCUAUUGGUCAGUCGACUGAGACACAUCAGAGCCUACAGCAGUCAGGAGUCCUGGUGGAAAUACCUGCACCUGAUUGGCUACGGUGUUCCCCUGAUGGUGGUGGGCGUGUCUGCUGCAGUGAUGCCUGACGGCUAUGGGAGUGAUCAGUGUUGGCUAAGAGACAAAAAUGGCUUCCCAUGGAGUUUUGUUGGACCCGUUGUCUUUAUCCUUGUGGUGUGUAC
Long non-coding RNA from Clupea harengus (Atlantic herring), 385 nucleotides. The record is from Ensembl. Lineage: Eukaryota; Metazoa; Chordata; Actinopteri; Clupeiformes; Clupeidae.